Molecule: long non-coding RNA, 2658 nt
Filed under: Sus scrofa (pig)
Lineage: Eukaryota; Metazoa; Chordata; Mammalia; Artiodactyla; Suidae
Description: lncRNA (ENSSSCG00015073433.1)
Source: RNAcentral
ACAGGGGCCUCAGGGGGGCAUGUGUCCUCAUGCCAACAGCAGGUCAGGAGCCUGGGCCCAGGGUUGUCACGGUGGCUCCGAGUCACAGCCAAGAGGAGCUGGGACCAUGGGGUCAGAGGCCUGGGUGUGCCCACCAGGGUGAAGCAACUCUGGCCGGGACGGCUUCUCUGUUCCAGAUGUGCCUCUGGCCCAGGGCUUUACAGCCGUAUGGCCUGGUCACCCCCGUGUGCACCCUGACCCUGGAUCCCGCAGGAGUCGCGCAGACCAGGUGCUCCCGGGGGCACAGGUGGGAGGCAGGCCACGGAGACAGAUAGGUGAGGAGUAGGCUUUCGGGGGUGGCGAGGGUGGAAAGGAAGCUGUGGGGGCCGCCAGGUCCGGGGCAGGGGCGGGCCGCGGCUCUGGGAGUGAGAGUGGGAGCCCCGGGGCUCCUGGCUCAGAAGCAGCCCAAGGGAGUUCCCCUUGUGGCUCAGCGGGUUCCGAACUCAAGGACCCAGGUUCGAUGCCUGGCCUCACUCAGGGGGUUAAGGAUCUGGCGUUGCUGAGAGCUGCGAGGCGUGGGUCGCAGAUGCGGCUCGGAUCCCGUGUUGCUGUCAUCGUGUGGAGACUGGCAGCUGCAGCUCCAGUUCAACCCCUGGCCUGGGAACUUCCUAUGUUGCAGGAGAGACCCUAAAAAGCCAAAAAAAAGAAAGAAAGAAAAAGAAAAGGAAAGCAGAGGCCCUGAGACAGAAGUCAACUGUGUUCCAGAGACGCUAGGCUGGGGUGCUGGACGGGGAGGGGGGUGCAGGCCACACAGACCACGGUCCUGGGAAUCAGUGGCUCUGGAGGGGGACAGAGGCCCCCAGCUGGACCGUCCGAAUGGAUCUCGUUGGGAAUCGGGUCCUUGUGGACAUAAUUCAGACUUUUUCCACUUUCAGAGAGAUGUGGUCACUUCAACAUCCCGGUGCGUGACCGGCUUCUUUCCCUCAAGCACCGGUGGCGCUGUCCCAUCACGCGAGGUCCAUUUGGUCCUUUGGCAGCAGCUUCUGACAGGUGUGGCGUCUGGGUGUCGCGUGGGUGUACUGACCAGGCCAGUGGGUGGACACUGGGCCGCCAAGAGGGUGCCUGCACUUUUGCACCUUUGGGGUCACACCGUCGGAAUGGGGGCUGGGUCAGAGGUGGGGCACAGCUCACGGCAUGGAGGGUCUUCCUGGACAGCCCCCUCCCCACAAUGGGGGGGAGCUCACAGAGCGGAGGGGGGGCGGCUGGAGGCCCUGGAGGAAGGCCAGCAUUGGGCAGGUCCUGCUGGAAUCCAGCCCUGGUUUGAUGUUCCCUUUGACGGUCUGCCUAUAGGACACUUUGGUCUGCAGCAGCCAGUAGCCCAGCUUCCACUCCGGGGAAAGAGCGUCUCUCCGGCACCAUCAGGGGCAGCCUUGACCUGGCAGGUCAGGGAGGCCAGUGGGAGCCUGACGCAUCCACCCAAACGCACCCCCUGGCUGUGCACCCAUCUGUCGUCCCCCAGCCCGUCCUCUCCUCUCAGGGGGCGGGCACCACUCUGCACACUGACCCCCUUCCCUUGCUCACCCUUCAUCCAUCCUUCACGCUUUUUAUUUUAUUUUUUGUCUUUUGUUAUUUUCAGGGCUGCACCUGCAGCAUAUGGAGGUUCCCAGGCUAGGCGUUGAAUCAGAGCUGUAGCUGCCCGGCCACAGCCAUGCCAGAUCCAAUUCGCAUGUGCGACCUACGCCACAGCUCACGGCAAUGCCGGGUCCUGAACCCACGGAGCAAGGCCGGGGAUCGAACCCGCAACCUCAUGGUUCCUGGUUGGAUUCGCUUCCGCUGUGCCACGACGGGAACUCCCACUCUUUCCAUCCUCUCGUCCAGCCACCCACAUCAGUUAUUCGUGUGUAGCCAACAACCUCAACGCUUAGUGGCUUUGAAAAGUAAGGAACAGGCGCGGGGGAGCAAGCAAGAGUUUAAAGAAUGGUGGAGACACGUCCAAGAAGACAGGAGCCAGCUCCCCACUGACCAACUUGUAGGCAAGCUGAUCAUCAAACAGACAGUGACAGUAAAAGCUUAUAAUCUACGGGGCAAAGUAAGAGGCCCUGAGUCCAAAGCAAUGGGGAAAAAAAUGAAUCCACGGAGAAGAUGCAGCAGCUCUCGCGAGAAUGCCAGCUCAGCGAGCACCUCGGGCCAGGUACCACCACCACCACCCCCUGAUCCAGACCCCAGCCAUCGGGGAGCGGACGUGAGCCAGUGAGGGCUCGAGGGGGAGGACAGCCUCUGCCUGGCCUCAGGCUGUGCCCCACUGACGCCUCAGGCACGUCUGUGCAGAGAGGAGAGAUGCAGCAGGCACCUCCUUAACCGCGCCCUCGACCUUGCCGCCAGGCUGAGGUCGGCGGUAAAGGGCCACACUCACAUCCUGUGCCUCGUGACACGGUGCCCAAAGAAGCCCUGAGCCGCGGCCACGACAACCCCCGAUCCUUCACCAGGUUCCCGGGAAUUGCAUCAACAGCCUUGUUGAGGCAGGACUCAGAACCCAUCAAGUUCCCCCUUUGAAAGCGGCUUUUCGCGCCUUCGCAGCUUUAUAUCCGUCUCAACGCGCAAGUUCCAGAACCUUCCCACCCCCAAGGAAACCCCGGGCCCUCGAGCAGCCUCCCCGUUUCCCCCUCUCCCGGCCUGGGG